AACGAACGCUGGCGGCAUGCCUAACACAUGCAAGUCGAACGAGACCUUCGGGUCUAGUGGCGCACGGGUGCGUAACGCGUGGGAACCUGCCCUUAGGUUCGGAAUACCUCCCCGAAAGGGGUGCUAAUACCGGAUAAUGUCUUCUGACCAAAGAUUUAUCGCCUUUGGAUGGGCCCGCGUUGGAUUAGCCUGUUGGUAGGGUAAAAGCCUACCAAGGCUACGUUCCAUAGCUGGUCUGAGAGGAUGAGCAGCCACACUGAGACGGAGACACGGCCCAGACUCCUGCGGGAGGGAGCAGAGGGGAAUAUUGGACUAUGGGCGAAAGGCUGAACCAGCAAGGGCGGGAGAGUGAUGAAGGCCUUAGGGUUGUAAAGCUCUUUUACCCGGGAUGAUAAUGACAGUACCGGGAGAAUAAGCUCCGGCUAACUCCGUG
This 433-nucleotide ribosomal RNA is filed under the name uncultured bacterium. Its description in RNAcentral is "partial 16S ribosomal RNA". It matches the Rfam family "Bacterial small subunit ribosomal RNA", at positions 29 to 507 of the family's 1533-position model. The record is from RNAcentral.